This 123-nucleotide ribosomal RNA is filed under the name Pyricularia oryzae. Lineage: Eukaryota; Fungi; Ascomycota; Sordariomycetes; Magnaporthales; Pyriculariaceae. The record is from RNAcentral.
ACAUACGACCAUACCCACUGGAACAUACGGGAUCCCGUCCGCUCUCCCCUAGUCAAACCAGUGAGGGCCGAACUAGUACUCAGGUGGGUGACCACUGGGGAAUCCUCGGUGUUGUAUGUUUUG